Molecule: ribosomal RNA, 465 nt
Filed under: Vreelandella stevensii
Lineage: Bacteria; Pseudomonadati; Pseudomonadota; Gammaproteobacteria; Oceanospirillales; Halomonadaceae
Description: partial 16S ribosomal RNA
Rfam family: Bacterial small subunit ribosomal RNA
Source: RNAcentral
CCUACGGGCGGCAGCAGUGGGGAAUAUUGGACAAUGGGCGAAAGCCUGAUCCAGCCAUGCCGCGUGUGUGAAGAAGGCCUUCGGGUUGUAAAGCACUUUCAGUGGGGAAGAAAGCCUUGGGGCUAAUACCCUCGAGGAAGGACAUCACCCACAGAAGAAGCACCGGCUAACUCCGUGCCAGCAGCCGCGGUAAUACGGAGGGUGCGAGCGUUAAUCGGAAUUACUGGGCGUAAAGCGCGCGUAGGCGGUCUGAUAAGCCGGUUGUGAAAGCCCCGGGCUCAACCUGGGAACGGCAUCCGGAACUGUCAGGCUAGAGUGCAGGAGAGGAGGGUAGAAUUCCCGGUGUAGCGGUGAAAUGCGUAGAGAUCGGGAGGAAUACCAGUGGCGAAGGCGGCCUUCUGGACUGACACUGACGCUGAGGUGCGAAAGCGUGGGUAGCAAACAGGAUUAGAUACCCCAGUAGUC